Molecule: ribosomal RNA, 498 nt
Filed under: uncultured bacterium
Lineage: Bacteria
Description: bacterial SSU rRNA
Rfam family: Bacterial small subunit ribosomal RNA
Source: RNAcentral
UAGUCCACGCCGUAAACGAUGAGUACUAGUUAUUGGAGGUAUUGACUCCUUCAGUGACGUAGCUAACGCGUUAAGUACUCCACCUGGGAAGUACGGUCGCAAGAUUAAAACUCAAAGGAAUUGACGGGGGCCUGCACAAGCGGUGGAGCAUGUGGUUUAAUUCGACGCAACGCGCAGAACCUUACCAGCUUUUGACAUCCUGGUCGCGGAUUUGGGAGACCAUUUCCUUCAGUUCGGCUGGACCAGUGACAGGUGCUGCAUGGCUGUCGUCAGCUCGUGUCGUGAGAUGUUGGGUUAAGUCCCGCAACGAGCGCAACCCUCAUCCUUAGUUGCCAGCAUUUAGUUGGGCACUCUAAGGAAACUGCCGGUGAUAAGCCGGAGGAAGGUGGGGAUGACGUCAAGUCCUCAUGGCCCUUACAAGCUGGGCUACACACGUGCUACAAUGGCGAUGACAGUGAGCAGCUAACCCGCGAGGGCAAGCUAAUCUCUAAAAGUCGU